GUACAGUGAUUCUUCCUCAUGAAGUUUCAAACAACAGUGGCUGUUCCAACAAACUAGAUGACCCCCUUGAGAUUAGCCGAUCAUUAGAACAAAGUCUCAUGGUCACGUGUGUAGGAAGCAUCGCAGAGCUUGGUGACCUUGUGGACCGUGCGAUGCAUUUUCACCAGAGUCGCUCUCGUACCACUAACUCACCGUACAAGACCAAUGGAAUCACGUGGAGUCCGGAUGGUCUUAGAACGCUCUUCCAUUUUAUGAGCUGCAAUCAGCUGGAAUAUCAGGAUGAUAGGCCCAUCGUUCAACUCACUCCAGAAAGGCCUUACGUUGUUCUUCCUCCCCUCAUGGAGUGGAUAAGGGUUGCCAGUACCCACUGUGAACAUCGUCUGAGCAGUGUGGUAGACAGCGAUGAUGUCAGACAGGCUGCAAGGUUACUACUACCAGGCAUCGACACACCAGUCAGACCUCUCAGAAUGGACGAGUCUCUCUGUUCCUCGAGACACCUAGAUGCCAGCCAGUCCACAGCUCGUUUCCAGCAGGAUCUAGGCUUCCGUAUGCUGGCCUGCGGGAGAACGGACCUGGUCCCAAGCGCUGCUGCUCUGCUAGGCCCAGAUGGGAUUGAUACUGUUAGUGAACAGGGUAUGACAGCGUUAAUGUUGGCGUGUGCGAGAGGCGACGAAGCAAUGGUGCAGAUAUUAUUAGACAAUGGUGCUAAGCCUAAUCUUACCGUCCCAAGUAGUCAUCAGAAGUAUCCCUGUAUCCAUCCUACCAUCAGACAUUGGACAGCUCUAUCGUUUGCAGUAGCUCACAGACAUACAGCUAUAGCUCAGUUAUUAUUAGAUGCCGGUGCUAACGUAGAAGGUGCUCAUGGAGAGAAUUACACACAUUCACCGUUACAGCUAGCGUCAGCAGCAGGUUACCACGAGCUGGUGUGUCUUCUUUUAGAUAAGGGAGCAGACCCUUACCUCACAACAUUACAUAGAAAUGGGAUCACCAGUAAAGGACAUGGCAACUCAUUUGCUCUUGCUGCUGCACAUGGUCAUAGGAAUAUUUUACGUAAGCUUCUAGAGCAGCCUCGAUUGAUCCGAUCGUCGGACAUCUUAUCUCUGGAGGAGAUCUUAGCUGAGGGUUCCGAUGGGCCAAAGGAACGGAAAGCUAGCAAAGCGAGGAAGAACAAGAUUGCACUUAUGCUGCAGGAAGCGAUGUACCACAGCUGCGAGCAUGGUUUCCUAGACAUCGCCAUGGAGCUCCGGAGCCUUGGUGUCCCAUGGACCUUCCACUGCUGGCUGGAGACCCUUCGGACGGCUAAGUACUUCCACCGGUUGGCCAUCAUCCAGUGUUUGUUCCGAGACUUUGGAUCCAUCCCAGUCGAGGACGACUACGAGGAGCUGAUCCGGGACGGGCUGCCCCUCAUGUUUGAGAUCUUCAGGCAGAGUAAGAAUGACCUGGUGAGCAAACAGCUUGCUAACAUCUUCCCUCUCCUUAUGGGUACGGAAAAGAUAAGUGACAUCCCUACACCAGAUGCUAUGCAUGGGGCAAGGAUAGAUCCUCAAUAUAUCAACAACCCUGAGAUGUCGGAUGUGACCUUUGUGGUGGAAGGUCGGAGGUUCUACGCCCACAAGAUUGUCCUGGUGACGGCAUCCAAACGCUUCAAAGCCAUGCUUUCGGAUCGCAUGUUGGACCCUCAGAAACCAAUCGUUGAGAUCACAGAGUUUAGCUAUCAUAUCUUUCAGCUUUUGAUGCAGUACCUUUAUAAUGGAAGCACAGAGAAUCUUCAUGUCAAGCCAUCUGAACUUCCUGAGUUACUGGCAGCUGCUAAUCAUUUUGUAUUGACUGGUCUUCAGCUUCACUGUGAGAGAUUACUUAGCAUUGAUCUCGCCUGGGAUAAUGCUACAACAGUCUACAGACAAGCCAGAUUAUAUGGAGCCGAGUCUCUAUUGGAAUAUUGCCACUGGUUCUUCCUGCUCAACAUGCCAGAACUCCUUGCCAAGAAUGAAACUUUCAAGAAACUCAUCUUCCCUCCGAAGCAACAUCCUUAUGACCUACCGAGCAUGCUUCAAGAUACUUUGGCUAAACAGAUCUUCAACCGCUUCACUAAACAAACGACUGUCUGACCAAAGAAUUUGAGAAACUCUUUUUUUGUAUCAUUCCCUCAAGGCAACCUCCUAACAAACUUGACCUACCAAGCUUCGUCUAAGAAACUCUGGCUAGACAAAUCUUUAAUCGCUUCACCAAAUAAACAAUCGUCUGAAACAAGAUAUCAAAAAACCCUUCUUUACAUUAUUCCUGAAGUAACAUCCUGACUAUAGACCAGUAUCCUCCAAUGAACUGUGGCUAAACAGAUCUUCAAUCGCCGCUUUAAACAAACGACUGUCUGACCAAAGAUUUCGAGAAACUUUGCAUCUAUCCCUCUAAGACCUUCCCAGUUUACUCCAUACUUCCCUGGUCAAAAUGGUCUUCAACCAAUUUACCAAACAGACAACUAUCUAAACGAAUAUUUCAAGAAACUCUUUGCUUCUUUCUUCCGAAGCAACAGCCUUAGAAACAACCCUUGUGCUCCAAGGUGUCCUGGCUAAACAGAUCCACAUCAACGGCUUAACUAAACAAAGAACUGUCUGACCAAAGAGUUUUAGAAACUCUUCUUUACGUCUAUCCCUAAGCAACAGCUUUAGGGCCAAUGCUCACACUCCAUAAUACCCUGCUAAACAGAUCUCAGAUUGAUUCACCAAAUAGACCAUUGUCUGAUCCAAGAUUUUUUUAAACUCUUCUUUGGCCUGCCGAAUACAUAUAAAUAUUGUGGAUGCAACUUCCUCCUCAGUUUCCGCUGGAUGCUCAUAAGACUAAGCACAUGCAUUGGCCUUGGAGUAAAGAUGUGCAGGACACAUUUUCCAAAUUCAUGGGGUACGUACUGCAUUGCCAUGAUUGCAUCAUGUUAUGGCAAUAAAUCAGGGAGAAAAACUUUUGAGCAAACUACUUUCUCAGUUUUUGCCCAGUGCUCAUGAGACUUUGAACACACAUUGGUCUGUAAUGAGUGAAGACAUGAGAGACACAUUUUUGACACAUGCCAGGUACUUCUUUACCUUGGUGUUGGGGGGGGUAUUAAUCACCAUCAGUAAUAUUUUUCAUCUUCUGUGAAACCUUUUUAGUUUAACUUUGUAUAUCUUGAUUUUGCUUUUUCAACAAAUUGAUUAUUUAAUGCUGAUAGUGUUAUCUUGUACAUAGAGCUAUUUAUUUAUUCAAGUUAAUAAUUUUGAUUCAUUUUAUUUAUCUUCCUAUUUAUUAUCUUCUGUAUUUCUGCAUUUCUCAUUGACGAAGGAAAAUAUUGUCCUAGUUUUGUAUUAGUUCCACCAUUCAAUGGUAUAGUGUAUUAAGAAUAUGCAUUAUGAAUCUGUUGUAAUUGAUACUAUGCACAUCACUGCACAUAUCCAAAUCAACUUAGUUAUAUCCCUAUUCUCCCACCCCCCUUCCCCCCUCUCUCUCUCUCUUCCUCCAUCAUACAUCAUUAUCCCAAAAUCAGGGGCCUGUCUUAAUACAAAGAUUUACAAUUGAUCCAAUCAAUCGCAACUCUAUGGAAAUCCAUCAGUGUCAUAAUUUUUUCUACAGGAAAUGUGCAAAAUGUCCUUUGUAAACAAACGAGAACACACCGAACUGUCAAGAAAUCAAUGAAUUUAUGGAUAUGCAUUUGUAUCUAGAAAAAUUUUUUGAGCAAACAUGGAUUGUAUAUGUUGACUUUGCUGGCUUUCCAUAGUUGCGAUUGAUCGGAUCAAUCACAACUUUUUGUAAGUUGGGGCCCUGUACUACUCAAACUUGAGAAAGUAAUAAUUGACAGGCAUAUUUUAUUGCUUUGAUUAAGUAUAAUGCUUUGCUAAGUUAUGUUCCGACUACUGAAUAUUCCCAUUUAAGCUUAUCUCAAGUAUUUGCAACAAGCAUUAUGUCAAAGGAAAGUGUAAAAUCAAGGUUAAUUCUGAAUGUAUUGUGGUUACACCUCGGAAGAGUAACAACCUCAGGGUUUUUUUCUGUGACUUUGACAAUUUGAGGCAAUUUUAUUGCCUGAAGCAUAUUGAAGUAUUAUGCCCACAUUUUUGUUAUUUUGGGGGGAUUUAUUGGUUUAAAUUUUCAGUUUAUUGUAUUAUUUGUAACAGUUCAUCUAACCUUAUUGACUAAGUAGUAUUCAGAGAUGCCAACCGUUAAGAUAUAUUCAUCAGAUAAGAAAUUACAAUGUGAAUAACCAAACGUUUUCUUACGAGACAAAACAUGUUAACAAAAGUUUUUCGCUCAGUCAUUCGAUCGGAAAGUACCGUAAACACUGAAUUUACAUUAGAACACAUCUCAUUAAUAUUCCAUAAGGGUUGGCAACUUGAGUAUUAGACCAAGUUGAUAUAAGAAAAUGGAGAUAGCCUGACUAGAAUUUAGACUUACAUGUAUUGGGCUAAUGGGAAUUAGACCGAAUGGUUAUUAGACAAACUGGUUAGAGACCAACUAGAAUGAGACCAUGUGGGAUGAGACAAAACGGAAAGUAGAUGAAGAGGGUGUAGACAAAUAAAGUACCAAUUUGUGAUGUACUAAUCUAAUAUUGCGCAUUCUUUGGUGCUUCAACUUCACAAUAUUUUCAUAUUAUUUCAUGUGGUGCAGCCCUAGGCUUCGUGAAAUCUUGAUUUCGAUUGAAUUCCAAUGUUGACUUGAUAUUUGAUAUAUUUCAAUUAUAGACUCAGAAAUUGUCAUAUUUCUAUUUUGUUUCUUUUCAUUUCAUUUGUUUUCCACACAUCAUCUUAGAACAACAUACAACUCAUUUGUAAGUAGCAGAAUAAUUAGAAUUAAAAUGCAAAAUACAAAUAAGAACAAUUGCAUCCCAAGCUUCAAAGUGUGGGCGCCUAAAAGUGAAGUAUUGCUUGUUGUGAAUAGGCCCUUAGCAAGUCAUGUGUAAUAGAUUGGUAAGUAAAGUAAAGAUGAAAAGCACCGAGCUCUGAAAAAUAGCGAACUGGACAAGGAUGAAUAAUGGGGACACGCAGAUUACAGACACGGCGAGGAAGGAUAACAAGAGUAUAAAGACCUGUCUACUAUCUUUUAUUCAAACUAACCAAAGAUUGUGGUUGAUACAACUGUGAUUUGCUACUGUUUUGUACAUGUACAGAUAUGUCAGUGAGUAUAUACUUGUCUGUAAAGUCUGGGUUUUACAAACGUUUUGAGAGGAUGCGAGGAUACAACAUUUUGCAUUUUUCGUCUACUUGCAAGAAUUGCUUUUUGCUUGUUAGUAGUUUUAAAAUUUAUUUGCAAACAAAAAGCGACUUUGAUUGAUGUCCAUGUACGAUUCGUGAACCUUCCAAAACUUAGUGCACAUUUUGUGAAUAUAUUGCACUCUUAUGUGUGAUUGUUGGACCUUGCCAAAUUUUGGGCAUUCACUUUCUUGCAAAACCUUCAGUACAUGUUUGUGAACCUUUUCAAACCCAGGUUUGUGUUUCAUAAAGCUGGUCGUACAUUUACGAAAGACUGGAAUAUGUUCUUAAGUGUUAAGACAGCUACAUAGGGACCAUUUAGCACAAGAAAUGGUCACCAGUCGAGCGUAAAGUCAUUUGUUAUUUAUGAACAGUUUUAUGAAACACCCACCAUGCUUAUAGAGCGAUCUGCAGCUGUACAUAAUUGUUUAAAUAACAGAGGUGUUAUUGAUUGAAAUUUAUCAGAACGUUGUUUGUUGUUCGUUUAUGACCUGUUUUAUAAAAUUCAAUUAUCAGAAAAAGAGGAACUAGCAUGUUGACAUUUAAGUCGUUGGAGAUUGGUUGAUUAUGCUAUAGCUCAUAUUUUCCAAAGACCCCUCCCCCUCAUAUCUGCUGGCUCAAUGUCUAAAUGAUAAAUAUUUAAAAACUAAUAUUUGAAAAAUAUUUGCAUUGUUUAUGAUUCUUUUAGGGUCAAGAUCCUGUUUGAUAUGUGCUGGAAUGUCGAACUGCUGGGCAGUUUAUAAAUCAUGAAUUUUUUUAUGAAUGUUGCAUAAAUGAAGUGUACUUUGGUGUGUAAAUAUAUGAGAGACAGAGUAAAUAUUGAUAUUGUAUAAAAUUGAAAGGAAAAACAUACAGUGAAAUGGUGCCAAAUAGUAUGUUGUAUUGUAAAAAAAAAAUCUGUUUGAUUGAUGCAAGCAUUGUCGUGUCUCGCAAAAGUAAUUGACAGCGAUUAUUUUUCAGUAUGUGAAAUGUAACAACUCUAUGGUAGUCCCUGUCUUACAAAUAGUUGUGAUUGAUCCAAUCAAUUGCAUCUAUGACAAGCUACUACACCCCAUCCUCAAUCCGUAUGUCCUUUCAAAUAAUGUCCUCUAAAUACAACAAACACUUGUUUCUGCAUUCCUCUUUCUUGUAUUAUCAAACUCUCCAAUGAAACAUGGACAAUUUAAUUGAAGGUCUCAAAAUUGUUACCUUAUCAAUUAAAGAUAUAAAGAAGAGAGUUCAAAUUGAAAUUUAAUAUUUUCAUCUCUUAGAUAGUAGUAAUCAACUUAUUAAAGAGGUCUUGUGUUCACCUCCAUAUUCAUCUCAUUAACCUAUUAAUGAUAUAGGAGUGUAAAUCACUGGACAGAAAGCUUCUGAAAGGCUUGUGGUUUGAUAAAUUCUUCAGCAUUUUCACCAGAUAUUUCAUUGUUUUUUUUAAUAAUAAUCAUUAUUGACGGUAUGACCAAAAAUAAUUGGUUUGAUAAUAAUUAAUACUAGUAUAAAAGUCACAAGGACCUUGGUGUAUAGCAUACAUUAUGUUAUAAAAUUGACAAGGAGAGAAAUUGUUCUUUCUGCGUAAUUCUUACGAGUUUAUCAAUAAUUUUAGCUUAACUCAUACAAAUGAUUUCCCAUUUAGUACAG
Lytechinus pictus (painted urchin) is the source of this 6827-nucleotide RNA transcript. It is a transcript of the gene named ankyrin repeat and BTB/POZ domain-containing protein 3-like, with no coding region annotated. NCBI's taxonomy places the organism in Eukaryota, Metazoa, Echinodermata, Echinoidea, Temnopleuroida, Toxopneustidae. The transcript is spliced from 16 exons. The record is from RefSeq and is a predicted model, not a curated record.